GUGUCAGCCGCCGCGGUAAUACGAAGGGUGCAAGCGUUAUCCGGAUUCAUUGGGUUUAAAGGGUGCGUAGGUGGGGCGAUAAGUCAGUGGUGAAAUCCUGCGGCUUAACCGUAGAAUUGCCAUUGAUACUGUCGCUCUUGAGUACGCUUGACGUGGGCGGAAUGUGCCGUGUAGCGGUGAAAUGCUUAGAUAUGGCACAGAACACCGAUAGUGAAGACAGCUCACGAAGGCGAAACUGACACUGAGGCACGAAAGCGUGGGGAUCGAACAGGAUUAGAUACCCCUGUAGUCC
This 292-nucleotide ribosomal RNA is filed under the name uncultured bacterium. Its description in RNAcentral is "partial 16S ribosomal RNA". It matches the Rfam family "Bacterial small subunit ribosomal RNA", at positions 505 to 796 of the family's 1533-position model. The record is from RNAcentral.